GUGAAACUAAGAAAGAAAGAUGUGCCUAAGGCAGCACACAAGCAAACUGUGCAAGCUAAGAGGAAAAGGAGAGAUGCCCACAAUUACUACAAAAAGAGAGCCACCCCUACCAUCUCUAAGGGGGGCCGUCACUUCAUUCAGACCUUCUU
Hibiscus syriacus is the source of this 149-nucleotide long non-coding RNA. RefSeq lists it as uncharacterized. The record is from RefSeq and is a predicted model, not a curated record. Lineage: Eukaryota; Viridiplantae; Streptophyta; Magnoliopsida; Malvales; Malvaceae. The transcript is spliced from 3 exons.